Molecule: ribosomal RNA, 497 nt
Filed under: uncultured bacterium
Lineage: Bacteria
Description: partial 16S ribosomal RNA
Rfam family: Bacterial small subunit ribosomal RNA
Source: RNAcentral
GAUGAACGCUGGCGGCGUGCCUAAUACAUGCAAGUCGAGCGAACAGACGAGGAGCUUGCUCCUCUGACGUUAGCGGCGGACGGGUGAGUAACACGUGGAUAACCUACCUAUAAGACUGGGAUAACUUCGGGAAACCGGAGCUAAUACCGGAUAAUAUAUUGAACCGCAUGGUUCAAUAGUGAAAGACGGUUUUGCUGUCACUUAUAGAUGGAUCCGCGCCGCAUUAGCUAGUUGGUAAGGUAACGGCUUACCAAGGCGACGAUGCGUAGCCGACCUGAGAGGGUGAUCCGCCACCCUGGAACUGAGACACGGUCCAGACUCCUACGGGAGGCAGCAGUAGGGAAUCUUCCGCAAUGGGCGAAAGCCUGACGGAGCAACGCCGCGUGAGUGAUGAAGGUCUUCGGAUCGUAAACCUCUGUUAUUAGGGAAGAACAAAUGUGUAAGUAACUAUGCACGUCUUGACGGUACCUAAUCAGAAAGCCACGGCUAACUACGUG